This 933-nucleotide small RNA is filed under the name Pongo abelii (Sumatran orangutan). RNAcentral describes it as "processed transcript". The record is from RNAcentral. Lineage: Eukaryota; Metazoa; Chordata; Mammalia; Primates; Hominidae.
CAAGUAUGGGGUCUGCUGGCUUGUCGCGGCUGCAUGGGCUUUUCGCGGUCUAUAAGCCCCCGGGGCUAAAAUGGAAGCACCUGCGGGAUACAGUGGAGCUACAACUUCUGAAGGGUCUCAAUGCCAGGAAGCCUCCCGCCCCUAAACAGCGUGUUCGCUUCUUGCUGGGCCCCAUGGAAGGCAGCGAAGAGAAGGAGCUGACCCUCACAGCCACCAGCGUACCCUCUCUCAUCAACCAUCCACUGGUAUGUGGACCAGCAUUCACCCAUCUCAAGGUUGGCGUGGGACAUCGGUUGGAUGCCCAGGCUUCUGGAGUACUUGGUGUCAGAAUCCCAUGGGGAGCUUGGCAGGGAUCCUAGGCCCCCUCCAACCAUGAGUCAGAUUCAGUGCGUAUGGUGCUCGGCGUGGGACAUGGAUGCAGGCUCCUCACCGAUAUGUACAAUGCUCAUCUUACCAAGGAUUACACAGUGCGUGGCCUCCUGGGCAAAGCUACAGAUGACUUCCGUGAGGACGGGAGGCUGGUAGAGAAGACAACCUAUGACCACGUGACCAGAGAGAAGCUGGACCGCAUUCUGGCCAUUAUCCAAGGCUCCCAUCAGAAGGCCCUGGUGAUGUACUCCAACCUCGACCUGAAGACCCAGGAGGCCUAUGAGAUGGCCGUGAGAGGCCUGAUCCGGCCCAUGAACAAGUCCCCGAUGCUGAUAACUGGCAUCCGAUGCCUCCACUUUGCACCUCCGGAAUUCCUCUUAGAGGUGCAGUGCAUGCAUGAGACGCAGAAAGAGCUGCGAAAGUUGGUUCAUGAAAUCGGCCUGGAGCUAAAGACCACUGCUGUCUGCUCCCAAGUGCGGCGCACACGCGACGGCUUCUUCACGCUAGACAGUGCCCUCCUGAGGACCCAGUGGGACCUAACCAAUAUCCAGGAUGCUAUCCAGG